UGGGGAAUUUUGGACAAUGGGGGCAACCCUGAUCCAGCCAUCCCGCGUGUGCGAUGAAGGCCUUCGGGUUGUAAAGCACUUUUGGCAGGGAAGAAACAGCCUGGGAUAAUACCCCGGGCGACUGACGGUACCUGCAGAAUAAGCACCGGCUAACUACGUGCCAGCAGCCGCGGUAAUACGUAGGGUGCAAGCGUUAAUCGGAAUUACUGGGCGUAAAGCGUGCGCAGGCGGUUCGGAAAGAAAGGUGUGAAAUCCCAGGGCUUAACCUUGGAACUGCACUUUUAACUACCGAGCUAGAGUACGUCAGAGGGGGGUAGAAUUCCACGUGUAGCAGUGAAAUGCGUAGAGAUGUGGAGGAAUACCGAUGGCGAAGGCAGCCCCCUGGGAUGAUACUGACGCUCAUGCACGAAAGCGUGGGGAGCAAACAGGAUUAGAUACCCUGGUAGUCCACGCCCUAAACGAUGUCAACUAGCUGUUGGGGUUUAUUAACCUUAGUAGCGCAGCUAACGCGUGAAGUUGACCGCCUGGGGAGUGCGGUCGCAAGAUUAAAAC
This 552-nucleotide ribosomal RNA is filed under the name uncultured bacterium. RNAcentral describes it as "partial 16S ribosomal RNA". It matches the Rfam family "Bacterial small subunit ribosomal RNA", at positions 355 to 900 of the family's 1533-position model. The record is from RNAcentral.